This is a long non-coding RNA of Equus quagga, 361 nucleotides long. RefSeq lists it as uncharacterized. The record is from RefSeq and is a predicted model, not a curated record. Lineage: Eukaryota; Metazoa; Chordata; Mammalia; Perissodactyla; Equidae. The transcript has 3 exons.
AUGGGCCCAGCCACCUCCUGUCUCUCUGGGAUGCUCUCCCAGCUUAGUAAGUGAGUCUCUUUUACCAAUGGACUAUGCACUUUUCUAUGUGAUAUAUCUGUGCUGGUUUCCAGAUCAGGCCAGGAAUGCCAGAUAUUGUGGGAUCUCAUCUCUCUUGUGCUGGACCUAAAGGCUUGGAUGUCUAAUGUGAAGCUCAAAUUCCCUGCACCUCUGGGAAAAGAUCCAUACCUUUGAGAUUCUCCUGGACAUGAAGCUCCGUGGCUAGGAAUUACCUCCUCAAGUGGUUCAACUGCCAACUCAAAUUGUUUUGGAAAAUGUAACAACUUUUCAGCGACAAGGAUCAUCAAACUUUCUGUUUAAG